This 406-nucleotide ribosomal RNA is filed under the name uncultured bacterium. RNAcentral's name for it is "partial 16S ribosomal RNA". It matches the Rfam family "Bacterial small subunit ribosomal RNA", at positions 29 to 526 of the family's 1533-position model. The record is from RNAcentral.
AUUGAACGCUGGCGGCAGGCCUAACACAUGCAAGUCGAACGAGUGGCGGACGGGUGAGUAAUGUCUGGGAAACUGCCUGUUGGAGGGGGAUAACUACUGGAAACGGUCGCUAAUACCCCAUACUCUCGGUUUUACCCAGAUGGGAUUAGCUGGUGGGUGGGGGAACGGCUCACUUGGGGGACGAUCCCUAGCCGGGUUGAGAGGAUGACCAGCCACACGGGAACUGAGACACGGCCCAAACUCCUACGGGAGGCAGCAUUGGGGAAUAUUGCACAAUGGGCGCAAGCCUGAUGCAGCCAGGCCGCGUGUAGGAAGAAGGCCUUCGGGUUGUAAAGUACGUUCAGCGGGGAGGCGGUACCCGCAGAAGAAGCACCGGCUAACUCCGUGCCAGCCGCCGCGGUAAUAC